UGCCAGCAGCCGCGGUAAUACGAAUGGUGCAAGCGUUGUUCGGAAUCACUGGGCAUAAAGAGCACGUAGGCGGCGGUGUAAGUCAGGUGUGAAAUCCCUCGGCUCAACCGAGGAACUGCACCUGAUACUGCAUUGCUAGAGGGCGGGAGGGGAGAACGGAAUUCCUGGUGGAGCGGUGAAAUGCGUAGAUAUCAGGAGGAACGCCGGAGGCGAAAGCGGUUCUCUGGCCCGUCUCUGACGCUGAGGUGCGAAAGCUAGGGGAGCAAACAGGAUUAGAUA
This 279-nucleotide ribosomal RNA is filed under the name uncultured bacterium. Its description in RNAcentral is "partial 16S ribosomal RNA". It matches the Rfam family "Bacterial small subunit ribosomal RNA", at positions 506 to 784 of the family's 1533-position model. The record is from RNAcentral.